AGGGUUUAAAGCGACUGGGGAUUAGUUAUGGUACCGUCCCCGAAAGUUUCCUUCGCUCCAAGCUCAGGAUGGAAAGCCUUUCUCUUUUACUCAAACUUCCUCUCUCCAUGGCUGCUCAAUAUCUCCUCCUUUUAUUCCUCUGCGAGCUGGAGCCAGGGCGGCGGCGACGGUGCUGGUGGUGGAUGAAAUGGGGCGCGGGAAGAUCGAGAUAAAGCGGAUCGAGAAUUCCACCAACCGGCAGGUGACCUUCUCCAAGCGCCGCAAUGGGAUCAUUAAGAAGGCGAGAGAAAUCAGCAUCCUCUGCGAAUCGCAGGUCUCCGUCGCCAUAUUCUCCAGCUCCGGGAAGAUGUCCGAGUUCUGCAGUCCCUCCACCACGUUGCCGAAGAUUCUGGAGAGGUACCAGACGAACUCCGGCGAAAAGCUCUGGGAUGCCAAGCAUGAGAGUCUGAGUGUUGAAAUUGAGCGAGUUAAGAAAGAAAACGACAACAUGCAGAUUGAACUAAGGCACCUUAAGGGUGAGGAUCUCAACUCCCUUUACCCAAAGGAAUUGAUUCCUAUUGAGGAGGCACUCCAGAUUGGGCUCACCAGCGUAAGGGAAAAGCAAAUGGAGAUCUGGAAGAUGCACAAGAAGAAUGUUGGCAUACAUAUUCCCUCGAGUUUUAAUUUGUUGAAUGUUUUUUUUUUCUCUUAAUUUUGUUUCUGCUCUUAAUGGUUUUCAUCUCUCGAAUAGGAAAAAUUUCUAGAGGAGGAGAACAAGCAACUGACUUAUAUGCUGCACCAUCAUCAAUUGACAAUGGAUGGAAGCGUUCGCGAGCUAGAGCUUGGAUACAAAGAUAGGGAGUUUGCGCCGCAAAUGACUAUGGCCUUCCGCGUUCAACCGAUCCAACCUAACUUGCACGAAAGCAAAUGAUGAUGAGAUCUCAUCUUCAACGAUUUCUAACAAUUUAAGAACAUCAACAAUUAAGAAGAGGAAGGAAUCAGUUGCCGGAGGUGAUAGGGUAACCGAUGCCGUGCCUACUCGUCGGAAACACCACGAAGAGCAAGCUGCAAAGCACGCCGACGCCCAGCGGCACUAUGUCCAACGCCUCCUGAACCUCCCUGCUCGGCCGCGGGUAGAAGCAACUGACGACGUUCCGGUCCCGCAGCGCCACCGCCGCGAACACCAGCACAGACAGCGCCGCGUGCACCCAGUCCCUGGUCCGCCGCCUGUACUUGGUCAGAUCCGGCAGAGUCCCCGCGCCGCCCUCGUCCACGUAGUUGAAGAGCCACAUACCACGGCGCGUCGCGAAGCCAUAGUAGAGCUGGCCGUCGGUCGACCGAAAGCUGUCGGUGAAGCUGGCGAGGAAGCAGGAGGCGGCGAGGAGCAGCAGCAGCCCGCGCGUCAGGAGGACGGUGACGGCAUCGCAGGCGCCGUUGUUGGUGAAGACCGGCACGAGGAGCUGGAAGGCGAGCAGAGUGCCGGUGGGCAGGAGGUUGGCGAGGUGGGCGGUGGUCGCUAGCGCUUGAGAUAUGGCUUGCUGGGACGACGAGGAAGAUGGCGGAGCAACCGCCGGCGGCGGCUGGAGCGGUGGUGGUUGCUCCUGGAUUUGGUCUUCGUCUUUCUUUUCUUUGGAUUUCCUAAACUUGGUUUGAAGGGACAUGGCCAGCUCUCUUACAAUCUGCCUCCUUCAAAUUUUGGAUGAUGUUGUUGAUGAGACAUUGAAAUAAAUAGAGGAAUAUACUUGUUCCACAGCA
RNA transcript from Zingiber officinale, 1734 nucleotides. It is a transcript of the gene named MADS-box transcription factor 2-like, with no coding region annotated. The transcript has 7 exons. Lineage: Eukaryota; Viridiplantae; Streptophyta; Magnoliopsida; Zingiberales; Zingiberaceae. The record is from RefSeq and is a predicted model, not a curated record.